UACAGAGGUCUCAAGCGUUGUUCGGAUUCAUUGGGCGUAAAGGGUGCGUAGGUGGCGGGGUAAGUCAGGUGUGAAAUUUCGGAGCUUAACUCCGAAACUGCAUUUGAUACUGCCUUGCUUGAGGACUGGAGAGGAGACUGGAAUUCACGGUGUAGCAGUGAAAUGCGUAGAGAUCGUGAGGAAGACCAGUGGCGAAGGCGGGUCUCUGGGCCAUUACUGACGCUGAGGAGCGAAAGCGUGGGGAGCGAACAGG
Molecule: ribosomal RNA, 253 nt
Filed under: uncultured bacterium
Lineage: Bacteria
Description: partial 16S ribosomal RNA
Rfam family: Bacterial small subunit ribosomal RNA
Source: RNAcentral